RNAcentral lists this ribosomal RNA (419 nucleotides) under uncultured soil bacterium. Its description in RNAcentral is "bacterial SSU rRNA". It matches the Rfam family "Bacterial small subunit ribosomal RNA", at positions 26 to 443 of the family's 1533-position model. The record is from RNAcentral.
AGAUUGAACGCUGGCGGCAGGCCUAACACAUGCAAGUCGAGCGGCAGCACGGGUACUUGUACCUGGUGGCGAGCGGCGGACGGGUGAGUAAUGCCUAGGAAUCUGCCUGGUAGUGGGGGAUAACGCUCGGAAGCGGACGCUAAUACCGCAUACGUCCUACGGGAGAAAGCAGGGGACCUUCGGGCCUUGCGCUAUCAGAUGAGCCUAGGUCGGAUUAGCUAGUUGGUGGGUAAUGGCUCACCAAGGCGACGAUCCGUAACUGGUCUGAGAGGAUGAUCAGUCACACCGGAACUGAGACACGGUCCGGACUCCGUACGGGAGGCAGCAGUGGGGAAUAUUGGACAAUGGGCGCAAGCCUGACCCAGCAAUGCCGCGUGUGUGAAGAAGGCCGUUCGGUUAGUAAAGCGACGUUUAAGUGG